Molecule: long non-coding RNA, 1999 nt
Filed under: Androctonus crassicauda
Lineage: Eukaryota; Metazoa; Arthropoda; Arachnida; Scorpiones; Buthidae
Source: RNAcentral
CUAGUUCAUAGAUGUCUAUAUUAGAAAAUCUCAAAAGAAUUUAUUUUAAAUCUUAUAACCGACAAAACUGUACCAGUUAAUAGUACUGUACUGUAUUACUGUAUAUUAUGGUAUAUGUGUUUUUACAAAUUAUCUCAAUCAGUAAUGACAAAACAAUAGGUUCGACGUGUUUGGUAAGGGUAGGAGACUUAUACUAAUAAAAACAAAUUACAGCCGCCACAUGAUAGGAAUAUAUUACAUUUUUGUGUCUAUUUCUAUCAAAUCGUUUUAAAAAUAAUAUGUUUAGAGGUUAAAUCAAUGAGGUUAACAUCAAAAUGCUUAUUCUGUUUUAAAAUCUGCAAAGGACUAUGAAAAUAGGUCGCUUACCUGUGUCCAUCGAUGCUUGCGUGUUAUCCAAUAUAUAGUUUGCCAUUUCCUUUUAUCAUUCAUCGAAUGAACAUUUUUGGCUAAUUUUCAGUAAUUGAAAUCGGUGGAUAAAACAAUGAUGGGAAAUAUAUUAAACAAUUCAAACUAUCUUAUUUGAAAUUUCUAAAAACAACCGUUUUAGUAAAAUUUUGAUAUUGAACAAUAAUUCAUUCUUUAACCUUUCGAUUGACCCUAUCACGAAUAUUGGCCACCGACAAAAAUACCCUUAGUAAGAUUCGACGGCUUAAUAAAAAUUAAAUUAACCUAACAUAGAUUAAACAGUUUUCUAGAAUAUAGAUGUUGAGCAGCAUUUCUCUGCCAAUGACAAAAUAUAUUUUUGAAAUCAUGAAAAUCCCUUUAAAAUGAUGUGCUGUUUAACAAUGAUAUAUUAUGCCUGGUUUUGCAAUGUCCCAAUAAAGUUCCUAUUAGCUUUAACAAUUAGUUAUUUAUUUUUGCAAUUGUCGGAUAAAAGCUAAUUGGUAGUUACUAAUAUUAAACUAUCAAUUGGCGUUUGUCUGAUAAUGGUAAAAUAAAUAACUGGCGGUUAAGGCUAACAGGAGCUUAUUUGGGACAUUGUAAAACUGGCCCUUAAUGUUGCAGGACAAAAAGAUAAUAUUAAGUCUAUACAAGAACUGGAUGAAAAACCAACACAUAUAUCCUGUACUGAUUUUGAAGAAUAUUCAGCUAUAAUUCUAAAUAUUUCAUUUUUAAAUGAAAAAAGUAGGAAAAUUGGAGCUAGAAGUUGGUUGUAACUAGCUGUUACUCAUUCCUGAUUUGCUCAAAAAUCUCGAAAUUACGCACGAAAUUAUCUAGUAAAGGUUGCCGUCCGAUCCUGUUUUAACCGUUAACGUUAGCUGACGCAAAUGCUGUUAAUUUAAUAAAAACGUUUUAAGAAUGACGUAAAUAAAAAAAAUCAUAAUUUAAAAGUUUUUAUAGAUUAUUUCAAUUGUUAAUAUCAUGGUAAUGUAUAUAAAACAUUGUUAUAAUUAUUCUUGUGUAAUAACCAUGUAAUAGGUUAUAUUUAUAGUGGUGGAAACUAAGUUAUCCUUCAGUUAUAUGUUAAUUCCAACUGUGAUCAUACCUUCCAAACCAAAGAUUCCCAAACUUUCUGGAGUCAUGAUUCUUUAUAGAAAUCCUUUAUACUUCAUCGACUCCAACCCAUUUAAUAACAACAUAUUCUCAAGGACGGUAUCUGAAUUUAAUCGUAAUGAAGAGUUUUUUUUUUUUAAUUUAUAUCGAAAAAUGUGGGAAACAUUUAAUGAAACUCUAAAUGGGUCUGAUUUAAUAUACAAGUAGUCCUUCACUGUGAUUCACAAUAAUUUGAACUUAUGACGGUGAUGUAAUCAGUAAAUUUUGUGAUUGGCCAAUACAGUUGAAAUGAGUUCGAGUCUCUGAGUCAUGGUCUGAUAUAUGGAAAGCAUCCUCUUUGUAUUUGUUUCUUGUAAUUUUGUUUGUUAUGUUUAUUAAGAUUAAUUUAUAGUAUCCUAGUAAAUGUAAGUAGUGAGAAAUCCAUAAAUUUUGGGCAUUUAUGACUUAUCAUGACAGGGCUUAAAACCAUUCUUGUCAUUAAUCAAAGAUUACCUGUAUAUAUAUC